Astatotilapia calliptera (eastern happy) is the source of this 1022-nucleotide long non-coding RNA. The record is from Ensembl. NCBI's taxonomy places the organism in Eukaryota, Metazoa, Chordata, Actinopteri, Cichliformes, Cichlidae.
GAGUUGGAGCAUGGCAGGCCUUUUCCUGGCCCCUCCUCUCGCCUGUUAAUGUCGGAUGAAGCUGAUUCAGACCUCGAUCCGAGGACAUAUUAUAACAUGCUCCGCAGUUUUGUUGCCCAGUAUUCCUCACAGGUCGCUGAAAGAAACCAGCAAGAGCUGAAAGAGGUGGCUACACCUGGAAUGGACUACGUCCUCCUGAAAGUCACAAAGAGAAAGUGGGCUGAGCCUCGCUGGACAGGCCCUUACCGCAUAACAGAGCGGACCUCCCACGCUGUCAGGCUCGAAGGGAAAGGUGACACCUGGUUUCAUUACACACAGUGCGCUGCUGCCACCGAACCAGGAAGAACCUUAAGAGAGGUGCAGAAGGACCUGUCAGAAGGAGCUGCAACAGCAUCACCAACCACUUGAGGGAGCCAAAACUCAACCUACAAGCCGGCUGGUUACAAAAGGGGGUGUUCUUCAUACUGAACUAAACAUUUUUUUUUUUUAUUUUUAACAUCUUUUAUGACUUUGCUUUUAUAUUGGCUUGAGUUUUUAAGAUUUACAUUUUACAUUGCAAUAGUUUUAACCGCUGAAAGCUCAUUUAAAGUUGUGUCACUGAUACUUUUUGUUGCUCUUUAACUCCUAGAACACGCCCUUGGCGAGGUGGGGGGAACUGGACCACCUUUCUGUGCCCCAUCAUCCUCUAUUAGACGACAUCCAAGCUAAGACAGCUGUUACUGCUUUCGUCGGGAACCGAGACUGCUUGCAGCCGACCCCUGGGCAGGGUGGUGCCUGGACUCUUUUCUCCUCAUCUGCAAUGACAGAUAAAGACAAAUGAUAAGACCCGAGGAGUUUUUCGAGCCAGGCUUCGACACGUCUCUGUGUUCCUUUGAAUGUUACUUAUGUUUGUGUGUUGACCCAUUUAAGAUGGGUCAAAAGGGGGAUUUGAAGAAAAUAUAAUCUGAUCAAACAUUAUUCAGCUUUAAAUAUUGUUCAGCUUUAAAGUUACUGUGCAACUGUGUAAUAAAAAUGUGCUCACG